RNAcentral lists this ribosomal RNA (404 nucleotides) under uncultured bacterium. Its description in RNAcentral is "bacterial SSU rRNA". It matches the Rfam family "Bacterial small subunit ribosomal RNA", at positions 355 to 775 of the family's 1533-position model. The record is from RNAcentral.
GAGGGAAUAUUGGUUAAUGUGCGAAAGCGCGAACCAGCAACGCCGCGUGUACGAAGAAGGCCUUCGGGUUGUAAAGUACUUUUCACCGGGAAGAGGAAGGACGGUACCGGUGGAAUAAGUCUCGGCUAACUACGUGCCAGCAGCCGCGGUAUCACGUAGGAGACGAGCGUUAUCCGGAUUUACUGGGUGUAAAGCGCGUGCAGGCGGUCUGUUCAGUUGGAUGUGAAAGCUCCCGGCUAAACUGGGAGAGGUCGUUCAAGACUGGCAGGCUAGAGUGUGGUAGAGGGGAGUGGAAUUCCGAGUGUAGCGGUAAAAUGCAUAGAUAUUCGGAAGAACACCAGUGGCGAAGGCGACUUCCUGGACCACAACUGACGCUCAGACGCGAAAGCCAGGGUAGCAAACGG